RNAcentral lists this ribosomal RNA (410 nucleotides) under uncultured bacterium. RNAcentral's name for it is "bacterial SSU rRNA". It matches the Rfam family "Bacterial small subunit ribosomal RNA", at positions 612 to 1022 of the family's 1533-position model. The record is from RNAcentral.
ACCUGGGAAUUGCAUUGGAAACUAGCGGGCUGGAGUGUGGCAGAGGGGGGUGGAAUUCCACGUGUAGCAGUGAAAUGCGUAGAGAUGUGGAGGAACACCGAUGGCGAAGGCAGCCCCCUGGGCUAACACUGACGCUCAUGCACGAAAGCGUGGGGAGCAAACAGGAUUAGAUACCCUGGUAGUCCACGCCCUAAACGAUGGCAACUGGGUGUUGGGGAAGCGAUUCCUCAGUACCGUAGCUAACGCGUGAAGUUGCCCGCCUGGGGAGUACGGCCGCAAGGUUAAAACUCAAAGGAAUUGACGGGGACCCGCACAAGCGGUGGAUGAUGUGGAUUAAUUCGAUGCAACGCGAAAAACCUUACCUACCCUUGACAUGUCCGGAAGCCCGCUGAGAGGUGGGUGUGCCCGAA